RNAcentral lists this ribosomal RNA (349 nucleotides) under uncultured marine anaerobic bacterium 90dCB40. RNAcentral's name for it is "bacterial SSU rRNA". It matches the Rfam family "Bacterial small subunit ribosomal RNA", at positions 969 to 1317 of the family's 1533-position model. Lineage: Bacteria; Bacillati; Bacillota; Clostridia; Eubacteriales. The record is from RNAcentral.
CCUUACCUAAACUUGACAUCCNUUUGACCGCUUAUUAAUCGAAGCUUUCCCUUCGGGGACAAAGGUGACAGGUGGUGCAUGGUUGUCGUCAGCUCGUGUCGUGAGAUGUUGGGUUAAGUCCCGCAACGAGCGCAACCCCUGUCUUUAGUUGCCAUCAUUAAGUUGGGCACUCUAGAGAGACUGCCGAGGAUAACUCGGAGGAAGGUGGGGAUGACGUCAAAUCAUCAUGCCCCUUAUGUUUAGGGCUACACGCGUGCUACAAUGGGCGGUACAACGGGUAGCAAGCUCGCGAGAGCAAGCCAAUCCCUUAAAGCCGUUCUCAGUUCGGAUUGCAGGCUGAAACUCGCCU